GCCAGAGGAUGGAGAAAGCUGAAUCUGUUAAGCAAGACUCUGCUGAUACAAUCCCUCUGGAAGACGGGGCCAGAGAGAGCAGUCCUUGGUAGAGAGUCUCACAGGACUGACAACAUUCCACUGAUC
Small nucleolar RNA from Sorex araneus (European shrew), 126 nucleotides. The record is from Ensembl. Lineage: Eukaryota; Metazoa; Chordata; Mammalia; Eulipotyphla; Soricidae.